GGGCUGCAGACGAGAAUAUUCCGCAAUGGGCGAAAGCCUGACGGAGCGACGCCGCGUGCUGGAUGAAGUGCUUUGGUACGUAAACAGCUUUUAUCGGGGACGAAGUUUAUUGACGGUACCCGAUGAAUAAGGGGCUCCUAACUCUGUGCCAGCAGGAGCGGUAAUACAGAGGCCCCAAGCAUUACCCGGAAUCACUGGGCGUAAAGGGUGUCGAGGCGGCCCUAGUAGUCGUUCGUUAAAUCCGCGGGCCUAACCCGCGGCCUGCGAGCGAAACGGUAGGGCUUCGAGGGUGCGAGAGGUGCACGGAACUCAUGGUGGAGGGGUGAAAUCCGUUGAUAUCAUGGGGAACACCAAGGGCGAAGGCAGUGCACUGGCGCGUUCCUGACGCUCACACACGAAAGCCAGGGUAGCGAACGGGAUUAGAUACCCGUGUAGUC
RNAcentral lists this ribosomal RNA (437 nucleotides) under uncultured microorganism. RNAcentral's name for it is "bacterial SSU rRNA". It matches the Rfam family "Bacterial small subunit ribosomal RNA", at positions 346 to 795 of the family's 1533-position model. The record is from RNAcentral.